RNAcentral lists this RNase P RNA (232 nucleotides) under Microcaldota archaeon. RNAcentral describes it as "RNase P RNA component". It matches the Rfam family "Archaeal RNase P". From Rfam's summary of the family: Ribonuclease P (RNase P) is a ubiquitous endoribonuclease, found in archaea, bacteria and eukarya as well as chloroplasts and mitochondria. Its best characterised activity is the generation of mature 5'-ends of tRNAs by cleaving the 5'-leader elements of precursor-tRNAs. The record is from RNAcentral. Lineage: Archaea; Nanobdellati; Microcaldota.
GGUGGCAGGCGGGCAGCCUACCGAAAGGAGGAAGCUCCUCUCAUACAGAGUGCACCAGGGCUUAAGGCCCUAUUCGGAACAGAAACGAUACCGGAGCAAUGCAUGGGCGAUGACACUACGAGCGCAUUGCAAUGGAUGAAACGCGCCGAUGCGGUGCACAGUGAGUAUGCAAGGCCUUGUGCCGCUCAGACUAAUGCUGCCUAAAACAGAAAGAGGGCUACGGCCUGCCACU